CGAAAGGUUCUGGUAACUCUCGAUUUGGUGGAGACGAGACACAAAUCGAUCCAGCUUCCGAGCAACACGAUCUGAAACCCUGUAAUUUUUUUAUUUUUUUGAUAUUUUUCAUUUACUUAGGAGCACUAAAGAUGUAACCACAUAAAAUUUGAGGUUAAACAAGUGAAAGACGUGGCCUGCAAAAUUUUCUGAAGAUUGAGAAAAAUGUGAAAAAACUUCACGAGAUGAAAACUCAAAUUUCGGAUGCGAAUUUGAAGAUUAUAAAAUUUUCAAACUCGCCACAGGCAGGGAUAGACACAUCCAAAAAGUUUUUCUGAUCGAUUUUGAUAUAUGGAACAUUGAAAUCGGAGUUCGUAUGUGAAAGUUAUGGCUGUUUUACGAACGGGCUCCGAAAUAGAGGACAAAACGGUCCGAAAGUGGGAAAAAUUUGCGGCGGUGGCCAGAAAUUGAUGGAAAUAGUGUGGAAAAACACAUGAAAUGGACUCUAACAAGACCUAACCAGCAACAAGACCUCGACCAGGACACAAACUCAACACUGCAGUCUCUAAAACUGAAAUAUGCAAAGGCUAUGGCACGAAAGGAUUGUAGGACAGGAAAACAAUAUGGCACUGGACUUAUGGGAUGAACAUAAGAACACUCGAAACUAAGGGUAGAUGUGAACCUAAUGGUAUACCUGAAGCUUCGAUUACCACUUGUUGAGAACAAGGGUGGCCCGAUCUUCCGAAAGUUUAUGGUAACUCUCGAUUUGUUGGAGACGAGACACAAAUCGAUCCGGCUUCCGAACAACACGAUCUGAAACUCUACAAUUUUUUUAUUUUUUUGAUAAUUUUCUUUUACUUAGGAGCACUAAAGAAGUAACCACAGAAAAUUUGAGCUUAAACAAGUGAAAGACGUGGCCUGCUGAAUUUUCUGAAGAUUAAGAAAAAUAUAAAAAAACUUCACUAGGUGAAAACUCAAACUUCGGAGGCAAAUUUGGAGAUUUUAAAAUUUUCAAACCCGCCAAAGAUGGGGAUAGACACAUCCGUAAUUUUAUUCUGAUCGAUUUUAUAUAUGGAACAUUGAAAUCGGAGUUCGUAUGCGAAAGGUAUGGCUGUUUUACGAACAGACUCCAAAUUAGAGGACAAAACGGUGCGAAAGUGGGAAAAAUUUGCGGCGGUGGCUAGAAAUUGAUGGUAACAGUGAGAAAAUACACACGAACUGGACUCUAACGAGACCUAACUAGCAACAAGACCUCGACUAGGACACAAACUCAACACAGUGGACUCUGAAACUGAAAUAUGCAAAGGCUAUGGCGCGGAAGGGUUGUACGACAGGAUAACGAUAUGACACUCGACUUAUGGGACGAACACAAGAACACUCGAAACUAAGGGUAGAUGUGAACCUAACGGUAUAUCUGAAGCUUUGAUUACCACUUGAUGAGAACAAGGGUGGCCCGAUCUUCCGAAAGGUUCUGGUAUCUCUCGAUUUGCUGGAGACGAAACACAAAUCGAUCCGACUUCCGAGCAACACGAUCUGAAAGCCUGCAAUUUUUUUUUAUUUUUUUGAUAUUUUUCAUUUACUUAGGAGCACUAUGGAAGUAACCACAAAAAAAUUUGAGCUUAAACAAGUGAAAGACGUGGCCUGCGGAAUUUUCUGAAGAUUGCGAAAAAUGUGAAAUAACUUCACGAGGUGAAAACUCAAAUUUUGGAGGCGAAUUUGAAGAUCCUAAAAUUUUCAAACUCGCCAAAGGCAGGGAUAGACACAUCCAAAAAAUUUUUCUGAUCGAUUUUGAUAUAUGGAACAUUGAAAUCGGGGUUCGUAUGUGAAAGUUAUGGCUGUUUUAUGAACGGGCUCCGAACUAGAGGACAAAACGGUCCAAAAGUGGAAAAAAUUUGCGGCGGUGCCUGGAAAUUGAUGAAAACGGUGGGGAAAGACUCUGAAACUGAAAUAUGCAAAGGCUACGGCGCAGAAGGGUUGUAGGGUAGGAAAACGGUAUGGCACUGGACAUAUGGGACGAACACAAGAACACUCAAAACUAAGGGUAGAUGUGAACCUAAUGGUAUACGUGAAGCUUUGAUUACCACUUGAUGAAAACAAGGGUGGACCGAUCUUUCGAAAGGUUCUGGUAACUCGAUUUGGUAGAGACGAGACAAAAACCAAACCGGCCUCCGAACAACACGAUCCAAAAACCUACAAUUUUUUUUAUAAUUUUCUUUUACUUAGGAGCACUAAAGAAGUAACCAUAGAAAAUUUGAGCUUAAACAAGUGAAAGACGUGGCCUGCGGAAUUUUCUGAAGAUUGAGAAAAAUGUGAAAAAAACUUCAUGAGGUGAAAACUCAAUCUUUGGAGGUGAAUUUGGAGAUUUUAAAAUUUUCAAACCCGCCAAGCGCAGAUCCGAAAUUUUUUUCUCAUAGAUUUUGAUAUAUGGAACGUUGAAAUCGGAGUUCGUAUGCGAAAGUUACGGCUUUUUACGAACGGACUACGAAUUAGAGGACAAAACAGUGCGAAAGUGGGGAAAAUUUGCGGCGGUGGCUAGAAAUUGAUGGAAACGGUCAGGAAAUACAGACGAACUAGACUCCACAAACAACAAUGCGGACUCUGAAACUAAAAUAUGCAAAGGCUAUGGCGCGGAAGGGUUGUAGGACAAGAAAACGAUAUGGCACUGGACAUAUGGGUGUUGACGGUUCUUAAGUAUUAAUUUUAAUUAUCAAAUAAAUAAGAGAAAGGACCAAUAUGCAACCAACACCUAGAAUUAGGGUUUGAUCUGACAGAAUUCCACAAGUUUUGUUGUUUAUGUGUUUCUGCAGGGGGUUAUCAGGAAAUAAGGAAGAAAAGCCCACAUAUCGGGAUUACAUAGAGAUAUCAACGCACCGCACGAUUUUCUACCAUCUAGAAGACUCCAGAAGCCACGGGAAGAAGACGGAGGCCGAAAGGGGCCAGGCCCAGGGCGCCCGCCCCCCUCUGGAUUACAUUCGGGACUCUCUUCGCACGGGAUAUUCCACCGACCUAUUGGAUCAAGGAAAACAUAGUACCACCUCGCCUACCGACCCAAAAACGCAUAGAAGGGAAGGACUAUAUAAGGAGACCCCCCUGGCCCCUGGAGAAGACAUGAAGAAAUUAUCAUUGAGACUGAGGGGUGCCCUCGAAGGAAAACCUCUUCUCUAAUUAAUAUUUCUUUUUAGGCUUAGCAACCAAUGUAAGGUAGAAAUAGAUCUUCUAGUUUCUACUAGAUUGAGAGAGAUAGAGUGGAGGUGUAGAUUGGAGGAAGCCCGGCCUGUCGGUGUCUACUCCAAGCUUGUACCUGCAGGAUCAAGUUCUCCUAACCCGAAGCUUGCUCCUAGGAUUCUUCAGUAUUUCGACUUCUAAAUUCUAGUAAGUUCUUGUUUUAUUGUUCUUAUGGUUUAUGAGUUUACUUUAAUCUCUUCGCGUAGAGUUUAGAGUAAUCAUUGCUGGCGUAAACGUGGUGUUUAGGCUGGGGUACUCAUAGAUAUUCCCUGACUAGCUGGACCGUGGUAGUAGUGAGGAACGUGACAAUUCCGAGUUACCUUUGUAGAUCACAUCUCGUUAGCAGGAAGGAUAGGGUUUAUAGGUGCGGGUUGAACAUCCUUUGUGGUGUCUAGAUUCCGUUAGCCUCCCCAUUAGAACAAUAGAUUAUCCUUACCAAGGUUAGAAGGAGACUACGGUUGCAGUCUUCUCUAUUUAUCACUCACAUCGAAAGACAUUCUUUGUGCCUAAAGGUUAGUAGUAAUAGACCGGUUAGUCAGAUGCACUCUUUCUCCUAGUGGUAGAAAAAUAAAUACGAUACUCUGGAUAAUUUCCCGGGUGAAGUGCUCACCGAUAUCCGUGCGCUUGCGGAUCAAUUCCUUAUUGCGUUCCCAAAUAUCAACAAGCAUUUCUGGCGCCGUUGCCGGGGAGAAAGACGGUUGCUGAGAUAACCUGAGUCUUACUACUAGCUUGUAUCUAUACUUUUAUCUUUUCUUAUCUUUUAUAUUCUUUAUUUAUUUUCUUUAAUCUUACCUUAUGGAAAACCAAAAUUCUAAAUCGAUCCAUGAAUCUGCAAUCCCUUCAGCAACUGACCUUUUACCAUGGGAAUCAUCACAGCCUAUCCAAACAUCCCAGUAUAAGUUAAGUUCUAGGUUGAUUGCCAUGAUUCAAAACCUAUCUUUUUCGGGAAAGGAAGACGAAAACCCUUACCUUCAUAUUAGAGAUUUUGAGCAAACAUGUGAUUGUCUUCGCAUUGAAGGCAUUUCUGAUAAAACUUUACGUUGGAAGCUUUUUCCUUUUUCCUUAAGGGGAGAAGCUAGACAAUGGUACAGUCAGAAGGUAAGUCAACAACAAGGUGAAUGGGGAGUUUUACGAGCCAACUUUUGUCUAGAUUUCUAUUCCCUUGACCGUAUAGCCGACCUUAGACUCGAAGUCCUAUCUUUUAAACAAAAAGAUAAUGAAACUUUGGGAAAAUCCUGGAAACGUUUUUCUGAUCUUUUAGAAUCUGGUCCAAACCUUAAUCUUGAAGACCCUAUUCUUUUAUUCCACUUUUUCGAGGUCUUCAUAAAAAUCACAAACAAAUGCUGCACACAAUGUCUAGAGGUUCUUUCUUUUGCAUCCCUGCUGAUGAAGCUAGAGUGAUCCUAGAUAGAAUCCUAGAAGCUGAGAUGAAUAAUACCCUUCAUGAUGAAACCCACGAAGCCGAAGUAGACACUCUUCCAAAUUCUUCAGCUACUUUAGCUAUCCCAAGUUCUGAGCCACAAGAGGAAGAAAUUCUACCACCGGACUUCAUGCUGGAUAUAGAAUCCAAUCUUUUUGCCGAUUUUGGAAAUAUUUCAAACUACCAUUCUAUUGACAAACCCCAAAACGGUCAGUUUAGCAUUUAUUUGCCAAGUGAAUAUCAAUUGAGAGAGCUUAUCUCAGUCAUGAGUAGCGAAUGGUUGGAGGAAUCAGAGCUUUCCUCUGAUGUGAUCCGUUUGGACACACCCUCUAUAACUAUACGCUGUGCUUAUAAUUCUGAUCGAUUUAAUGCUCUUUAUAAUCCUGUUGUGGGGAUCAACGUCAUGUCUGAAUCUUUUGCACUUAAACUAUUUAAAAAGCUUGUCUUAACCCCCACAACAAAGGUCAUAAUGGAAUCUUCGGGACGGUUAGUCCCCAGUCUUGGAAUUAUUAAUGUCCUACCUCUUACGGUAGAAGGCUCCAUGGUUCAUUUGAACUUCUAUAUCUUUGAUACAUGGGACUUCGACCUGUUGAUAGGACAACCUUUUAGAAGACUCCUUUAUGAAGGUCAUACUGGAAAGCUACACAUUACUUUUGGAAAAACUUUUAAAUUCCCGAUAACAAUUUCACAAUCCUUAAACAAUAAGGCCGAGUCAUAUCUUUUGCCUGAUCCUAUGGAGGAGGUAAAGGCUGCAUCUCUAGAGCUUUUAGAUGAACCAGAUUUAGAAGACGAAACUCCUUUCUUCACUGAAGAAGAAGAUGAACCUUCUGAGCCUGAACCCUUAGAUGAGUUUGCAGAAGCACCUAGACCUCCCAUUGAACUUAAAACUUUACCACCCGGUCUUACCUAUGCUUUCUUAAACAAUAAUCCAGAGUUCCCUGUAAUCAUUAGCAAUAAACUCACUCAGGAUCAAACUCUGCGAUUAAUGACCAUUCUUGAAAAACAUCACUCAGUUUUUGGCUACUCACUUCAAGAUCUUACAGGAAUCAGUCCUAUGAUUUGUACCCAUCGUAUUCCAACAGAUCCUUCUGUUACACCCUCUCGAGAACCCCAACGUAGACUUAACAACACUAUGAGAGAGGUAGUUAAAAAGGAAGUUAUAAAGUUGCUGCAUGCAGGGAUUAUAUAUCCUGUGCCGCACAGUGAGUGGGUAAGCCCAGUGCAUGUUGUGCCUAAAAAGGGAGGCAUGACUGUUAUUAUGAAUGAAAAGAAUGAGCUAAUUCCGCAACGCACCGUCACAGGAUGGCGGAUGUGCAUAGACUAUAGAAAACUAAACAAAGCCACGAGAAAGAAUCACUUUCCUUUGCCUUUCAUAGAUGAGAUGCUAGAGCGGUUAGCAAACCAUUCGUUCUUCUGUUUCUUAGAUGGAUAUUCAGGAUAUCACCAAAUCCCGAUCCAUCCCGAUGAUCAAAGCAAAACCACUUUUACAUGCCCAUAUGGAACUUAUGCUUAUCGUAGAAUGUCUUUUAGGUUAUGUAAUGCACCAGCUUCUUUUCAAAGAUGCAUGAUGUCUAUAUUUUCUGAUAUGAUUGAAGAGAUUAUGGAAGUUUUCAUGGAUGAUUUCUCUAUUUAUGGAAAAACUUUUGAUAGUUGUAUUGAAAACUUAGACAAGGUUUUGGAAAGAUGUGAAGAAAAGCACUUAAUCCUUAAUUGGGAAAAAUGUCAUUUUAUGGUUAGGGAAGGAAUAGUGCUGGGACACCUAGUGUCUGAAAGAAGUAUUGAGGUAGACAAAGCUAAAAUUGAAGUAAUUGAACAACUACCUCCACCUGUGAACAUAAAAGGAAUUCGAAGCUUUCUUGGCCAUGCUGGUUUUUAUCGUAGAUUCAUAAAAGAUUUUUUAUUUAUUGCUAGACCACUUACUCUUUUGCUAGCCAAGGAUGCUCCUUUCGAAUUUGAUGAUGCAUGUCUAACAUCUUUCAAUUUAUUAAAGAAAGCACUCAACUCUACACCAAUCAUUCAACCCCCUAAUUGGUCGUUGCCUUUUGAAAUUAUGUGUGAUGCUAGUGAUUAUGCUGUGGGGGCAGUAUUGGGACAAACUAAAGAUAAGAAGCAUCAUGCAAUUGCUUAUGCCAGUAAAACUUUUACAGGAGCUCAACUUAAUUAUGCAACCACUGAAAAAGAGCUUCUGGCUGUUGUCUUUGCCAUUGAUAAAUUUAGAUCUUAUUUAGUUGGAGCUAAAAUAAUUGUUUACACUGAUCAUGCUGCACUAAAAUAUUUGCUCACUAAAAAAGAUGCUAAACCUCGUCUAAUUAGAUGGAUCUUAUUACUCCAAGAAUUUGACUUAGAAAUAAAAGAUAAAAAAGGAGUAGAAAAUUCUGUUGCAGAUCACUUGUCUAGAAUGUAUUUUAAGAGUCCAUAGGAAACCCCCAUUAAUGAUUCACUCCGGGACGACAUGCUCUACGGGAUUAACAGGUCUGACCCCUGGUAUGCAGAUAUUGUUAAUUUUAUGGUUUCAGGGUAUGUACCACCAGGAGCAAACAAGAAGAAGCUUAUUCAAGAAAGUCAUUCACAUAUAUGGGAUGAGCCAUACCUCUUCCGAGUAUGCUCUGAUGGCUUACUCAGGAGAUGUGUGACCACUGAGGAAGGAUGGAAGAUCAUCGACAGAUGUCAUUCAUCACCAUAUGGAGGCCACUAUGGAGCAUUCCGUACACAUUCAAAAAUCUGGCAGUGUGGAUUCUACUGGCCUACAAUGUAUGAAGACACGAAGCAAUAUAUCAGAAGAUGUGGGCCAUGUCAAAGACACGAAAACAUAAAUACAAGGGAUGCAAUGCCACUCACCAACAACCUUCAGAUUGAGCUCUUUGAUGUCUGGGGAAUAGACUACAUGGGUCCAUUUCCUCCAUCAAAGAAGUGUGAGUACAUCUUGGUGGCAGUUGACUAUGUCUCCAAGUGGGUAGAGGCAUUACCUUGCAAGCAUGCCGACAACGUCAGUUCAAAGAGGAUGUUUGAAGAAAUUAUAUUUCCAAGAUUUGGAGUUCCCAGAGUAGUGAUAAGUGAUGGAGGAGCACACUUCAUCGACAAACGCUUCAAGCAAUAUCUAUCAAGACAUGGAAUCCGUCACAACGUCGCUACCCCCUAUCAUCCUCACACAAGUGGCCAAGCAGAGACUUCCAACAAACAAAUCAAGAAUAUUCUUCAGAAGACAGUAAAUGAAAUGGGAACGGCGUGGAAAGACAAGUUACCCGAUGCACUCUGGGCAUACCGGACAGCAUACAAGACCCCAAUCGGAAUGUCUCCAUACCAAUUGGUGUACGGGAAGACUUGCCAUCUACCCGUUGAACUAGAGUUCAAAGCACACUGGGCCAUAAAGAGAUGGAAUAUGGACCUAGAUGUUGCUGGAGAUUAUAGAAGAAUGCAACUAUCAGAAUUGGAAGAAUGGCGAGAGAAGGCAUAUCACAACUCAAAGAUUUACAAAGAAAGAGUCAAAAGGUGGCAUGACAAGAGAAUCAAGAAGAAGGAGUUCACACCCGGAGAUAAGGUAUUACUUUUUAAUUCCAGGGUGAAGCUUUUCGGGCAUGGAAAACUCCGAAGCAAAUGGGAAGGACCAUUCAAGGUAAUUAAUUCAUAAUCCCACGGAGCUAUCACACUUCAAAAUAGCGAAGGUACGUUAUUCAAUGUAAAUGGUCAAUGUCUUAAAUUAUUUUUAGAGCCCAAUGAGGAAUUUGAAGAAAUAGACGUAGUCCAUUUUUACCUUCCCAUGGAGAAUUAGAGCCCGACACUUUUAGUCUGAUGUUUUUGGGUCAUAUAUAUAUUUUUCUAAAUAAUUUCGUAUCUAGAAACGCGCUCGGAAAAGUGGGCCCACAGAGGGGCCAGAGAGAGGGCGGGCGCCCAGCUCAGGUGGGCGGGCGCCCAGCUCCUGUUCCCCCUCGGUCCCGACUUUCUCUGUUAUGGAAAAUGCACUUAUGGUAAUUCGAAUAAUCCCUCGGAUGGAAAGUUUCGCACGCACGUCGACGGGAGAAACCCGAACAACCCAUAGAGGCACUUUUUGACCCCUAUAUAAACACACCCCUGACCUCAGUUUUCAAACACCAAGCCACCAAGCCUUCUCUCCUCCAAUUAGAGCUUGAUUAGUUCUCCUUCAAUUAGAGCUUGAUUAGUUCUUUGCUACUCCAAUGGCCGAGAAGUACCACGAUGAUUGGGAAGUCGUCCCCUUCAACCUCAACAUGGAGCCUGUGGAAGACCCCGAUGCCUGUGCUCUCAUCCCGGCCAACACAGAGCGACAGCUAGAAGCCAUGCCAUUACGCCAGCGCAGCUCUGCCCAAUCCUACCAUGCUCAACCAGUUCUCACCGCACCACCACAACCCCUACUCCUCAAAGGAUCAUCAUCCAAGACGAAGACCACCAAGGUGCCAAUCGGCACAAGGAUCCUUCCACCUAGACCCAAUGAGAGGGUCGUUGGAGUCAAGACCAACCGGAGCGGCAAGAUCAGCAGUGUUCGCUACACUACAGAGGAGGAAAGGCCUUACUUUGGAGGGAUUAGAGCAGCCAAAGUCUGUUUCAUCCCUCCAAAGGCAGCCCCGAAGCACGCUCUCAAUGCUUUUGAGACACCUCCCAAGCGUCGCAAGACUAUAAUGGAUAUUUAUGAGGAAGUUCGCAGACUAGAUAGAGUUAUCAUAGACCUCCAGUCCUCGAUUAAUUCCCUCACUAGGUAGCUCUCUAACCACAAAACCAUUAUACUAGGUCUUAGGCAGGAUCUUGCCAGUGCCAACAAGAAGAUCAAGGAAUUAGAGCGCCGCUAAGUUAUCUAGAUUAGACCUUGAGGCAAUACAUCUUAGUCAUUUAUCUUUAAAUUCAGUUUAGGUUUGAUAUUAUCAUCAGUUUACUAUUAUCAUCAGUUUGCUAUCAGUUUGCUACUAGUCUUUUGUAAUAAAUGCCUCAAGAUUAAUAAAGAGUAUUAUUAUUAUUAUGUCUUGUGUAUCUCUACUUAAUUUUUUGUGCAAGAAAGCAGAAAACAAGUAUGGGGGAGAUCCCUCGACAUGCCAAACACACUCCGACCACACCACUCCACGAUUCAGGUACACACUCUGCACACCUUACUUUACACAUACAUAUAUUUUGGAUUAUGCAGAUUACUGUUUCCGACAUGAUAAAUUAAAAAGAUUAAAAUAUUUCUAAUCAUGAUUAAUCUCAAUCUGUGAUAUUUCCUGAAAACUUGCAAUUAUUAUAAAAUCAUUUUAAAAACCCUGUGUUACUUAAGUCUUUGUGGAGUAUGUGAUGGUAGAGUAUGAGUUUCUUAUUCUUGAUAUCAUUGUUGCUUGGAGAAUUUAUUUCAAAAUAUUCAAAAUUCUAGCUACCAUCCUCAGUGUUUUAUAUGCCUGAUAAAACUGAAAAUAUUAAUUAUGAUUAUAAAAGCUAUCUAGUCUGUAUUGAGUUUGUUCAAAAUGAGUUAGACCCUUGUUGAGAGAUUUAUCAUGCUCCUCAGAUCAAGACAUUAUUUCAGAAAGAUUCACUCUUCCGAAGUAUUAUUGCAUUAGAGGCAUGAGCUAUGAAAAAAUAGAGAUAUUUUCGAGGAAAGAAAAAGGAGCAAGUGCUCGACAACCUCGCAGAAAAAAAUGGACAAGUGUCCGGCAGUAGAAUUAGGGGUACCUCGGUAUCCACCUAAAAAAAUGAUAGCCCAUGGUCCCUCUAAUAAGCAAUAUGCCAGCAAUAGUUGACAAAGAUUUUAAUUUCCAAUGUCUUUGAUCUAAGAGUAUGACAUUCCCCUCCCCGGAUCCCGUUUUGAUCAGGCAAUAAAUGCAAAGUAAGUAUGCUUGAGAAUUUUUGCAAAUUAAAACAACCUCAGUGAGAUAUAUAUAUAUAAAAUAAUGAGUGAUCUGAGAGAACCUAUGAGGAUAAAAAGGUAUGCUAACUUUCUUUCAAAAAUAUACAAAAGCUCCAAGUGACAGGAUUGAGAAGAAAGGAUCUUUACUCUUAACCAUAAACAUCCCUGACUAUGGUACACAGUGGAUUUUUAACACCCUGCAAAUAUAAAGAAUGUUUUAAAUGUUUACCCCAGAUAUUUUUCUUAACCAUCCUUUUCUCGAGGACGAGUAAAAGCCUAAGUAUGGGGGUAUUUGUUGACGGUUCUUAAGUAUUGAUUUUAAUUAUCAAAUAAACAAGAGAAAGGACCAAUAUGCAACCAACACCUAGAAUUAGGGUUUGAUCUGACAGAAUUCCAUGAGUUUUGUUGUUUAUGUGUUUCUGCAGGGGGUUAUCAGGAAAUAAGGAAGAAAAGCCCAAAUGUCGGGAUUACAUAGAGAUAUCAACGCACCGCACGAUUUUCUACCAUCUAGAAGACUCCAGAAGCCACGGGAAGAAGACGGAGGCCGAAAGGGGCCAGGCCCAGGGCGCCCGCCCUGGUGACCUGGGCGCCCGCCCCCCUCUGGAUUGCAUUCGGGACUCUCUUCGCACGGGAUAUUCCACCGACCUAUUGGAUCAAGGAAAACAUAGUACCACCUCGCCUACCGACCCAAAAACGUAUAGAAGGGAAGGACUAUAUAAGGAGACCCCCUGGCCCCUGGAGAAGACAUGAAGAAAUUAUCAUAGAGACUGAGGGGUGCCCUCGAAGGAAAACCUCUUCUCUAAUUAAUAUUUCUUUUUAGGCUUAGCAACCAAUGUAAGGUAGAAAUAGAUCUUCUAGUUUCUACUAGAUUGACAGAGAUAGAGUGGAGGUGUAGAUUGGAGGAAGCCCGGCCUGUCGGUGUCUACUCCAAGCUUGUACCUGCGGGAUCAAGUUCUCCUAACCCGAAGCUUGCUCCUAGGAUUCUUCAGUAUUUCGACUUCUAAAUUCUAGUAAGUUCUUGUUUUAUUGUUCUUAUGGUUUAUGAGUUUACUUUAAUCUCUUUGCGUAGAGUUUAGAGUAAUCAUUGCUGGCGUAAACGUGGUGUUUAGGCUGGGGUACUCAUAGAUAUUACCUGACUAGCUGGACCGUGGUAGUAGUGAGGAACGUGACAAUUCCGAGUUACCUUUGUAUAUCACAUCUCGUUAGCAGGAAGGAUAGGGUUUAUAGGUGCGGGUUGAACAUCCUUUGUGGUGUCUAGAUUCCGUUAGCCUCCCCAUUAGAACAAUAGAUUAUCCUUACCAGGGUUAGAAGGAGACUACGGUUGCAGUCUUCUCUAUUUAUCACUCACAUCGAAAGACAUUCUUUGUGCCUAAAGAUUAGUAGUAAUAGACCGGUUAGUCAGAUGCACUCUUUCUCCUAGUGGUAAAAAAAUAAAUACGAUACUCUGGAUAAUUUCCCGGUUGAAGUGCUCACCGAUAUCCGUGCGCUUGCGGAUCAAUUCCUUAUUGCGUUCCCAAAUAUCAACAAUGGGACGAACACAAGAACACUCGAAACUAAGGGUAGAUGUGAACCUAACGGCAUAUCUGAAUCUUUGAUUACCACUUGAUGAGAACAAGGGUGGCCCGAUCUUCCGAAAGGUUCUGGUAACACGAUUUGGUGGAAACGAGACACAAACCGAUACGGCUUCCGAACAACACGAGCCGAAACCCUGCAAUUUUUCUUAUUUUUUAAUAUUUUUCUUUUACUUAGGAUCACUAAAGAAGUAACCACAGAAAAUUUGAGCUUAAACAAGUGAAAGACGUGGCCUGCGGAAUUUUCUGAAGAUUGUGAAAAUUGUGAAAAAAACUUCAUGAGGUGAAAAAUCAAACUUCGGAGGUGAAUUUAAAGAUUCUAAAAUUUUCAAACCCACCAAAGGCGUGGAUAUAUAGAUCCAAAAUUUUUUUUCUAAUCGAUUUUGAUAUACGGAACGUUGAAACCUGAGUUCGUAUAUGAAAGUUAUGGCUGUUUUACGAACGGACUCCAAAUUAUAGGACAAAACGAUCCGAAAGUGGGAAAAAUUUGCGGUGGUGGCUAGAAAUUGAUGGAAAUGUUGGCGAAAAACACACAAACUGGACUCUAACAGGACCUAACUAGCAACAAGGCCUCAGCCAAGACACAAACUCAAUACUGCGGACUCUGAAACUGAAAUAUGCAAAUGCUAUGGCGCGGAAUGGUUGUAGGACAUGAACACGAUAUGGCAGUGGACUUAUGGAACGAACAUAAGAACACUCGAAACUAAGGGUAGAUGUGAACCUAACGGUAUACCUGAAGUUUUGAUUACCACUUGAUGAGAUCAAGGGUGGCCCAAUCUUCCGAAAGGUUCUGGUAACUCUUGAUUUGGUGGAGACGAGACACAAAUCGAUCCGGCUUCCGAACAACACGAUCCGAAUCCCUGCAACUUUUUUUUAUUUUUUUGAUAUUUUUCUUUUACUUAGGAGCACUAAAGAAGUAACCACAGAAAAUUUAAGCUUAAACAAGUGAAAGACGUGGCCUGUGGAAUUUUCUGAAAAUUGCGAAAAAUGUGAAAAAACAUCACGAGGUGAAAACUCAAACUUCGGAGACAAAUUUGGAGAAUCUAAAAUUUUCAAACCCGCCAAAGGCACCAAAGGCAUGGACAGACAGAUACGAAAUUUUUUUCUGAUCGAUUUUGAUAUAUGGAACGUUGAAAUCGGAGUUCGUAUACGAAAGUUAUGGCUGUUUUACGAACGGACUCCGAAUUAGAGGAUAAAACGGUGCGAAAGUGGGGAAAAUUUGCGGCGGUGGCUAGUAAUUGAUGGAAACGGUAAGGAAAUAGACACGAACUGGACUCCAAACAACACUGUGGACUCUGAAACUGAAAUAUACAAAGGCUAUGGCGCGGAAGGGUUGUAGGACAGAAAAAUGAUAUGGCACUGGACAUAUGGGACGAACACAAGAACACUCGAAACUAAGAGUAGAUGUGAACCUAACGGUAUACCGGAAUCUUUGAUUACCACUUGAUGAGAACAAGGGUGGCUCGAUCUUCCGAAAUGUUCUGGUAACUCGAUUUGGUGGAGACGAGACACAAACCGAUCCGGCUUCCGAACAACACGAGCUGAAACCCUGCAAUUUUUCUUAUUUUUUUUAAUAUAUUUCUUUUACUUAGGAGCACGAAAGAAGUAACCACAGAAAAUUUAAGCUUAAACAAGUGAAAGACGUGGCCUGCGGAAUUUUGUGAAGAUUGUGAAAAAUGUGAAAAAAAACUUCAUGAGGUGAAAAAUCAAACUUAGGAGGCGAAUUUGGAGAUUCUAAAAUUUUCAGACCCACCAAAGGCGUGGAUAUAUAGAUCCAAAAAUUUUUUCUAAUCGAUUUUGAUAUACGGAACGUUGAAACCAGAGUUCGUACGUGAAUGUUAUGGCUGUUUUACGAACGGACUCCAAAUUAGAGGAAAAACGGUCCGAAAGUGGGAAAAAUUUGCGGUGGUGGCUAGAAAUUGAUGGAAACGGUGGCGAAAAACACACGAACUAGACUCUAACAAGACCUCGACCAGGACACAAACUCAACACUGCAGACUCUGAAACUGAAAUAUGCAAAGGCUACGACGCAGAAGGGUUGUAGGGUAGGAAAACGGUAUGGCACUGGACAUAUGGGACGAACACAAAAACACUCAAAACUAAGAGUAGAUGUGAACCUAAUGGUAUACGUGAAGCUUUGAUUACCACUUGAUGAGAACAAGGGUGGACCGAUCUUUCGAAAUGUUCUGGUAACUCGAUUUGGUAGAGACGAGACAAAAACCAAUCCGGCCUCCGAACAAUCCAAUAACCUACAAUUUUUUUUAUAAUUUUCUUUUACUUAGGAGCACUAAAGAAGUAACCAUAGAAAAUUUGAGCUUAAACAAGUGAAAGACGUGGCCUGCAGAAUUUUGUGAAGAUUGAGAAAAAUGUGAAAAAAACUUCACGAGGUGAAAACUCAAUCUUUGGAGGUGAAUUUGGAGAUUUUGAAAUUUUCAAACCCGCCAAGCGCAGAUCCGAAAUUUUUUUCUGGUAGAUUUUGAUAUAUGGAACGUUGAAAUCGGAGUUCGUAUGCGAAAGUUACUGCUUUUUACGAACGGACUACGAAUUAGAGGACAAAACAGUGCGAAAGUGGGGAAAAUUUGCGGCGGUGGAUAGAAAUUGAUGAAAACAGUGAGGAAAUACAGACGAACUGGACUCCACAAACAACAAUGUGGACUCUGAAACUAAAAUAUGCAAAGGCUAUGGCGCGGAAGGGUUGUAGGACAAGAAAACGAUAUGGCACUGGACAUAUGGGACGAACACAAGAACACUCGAAACUAAGGGUAGAUGUGAACCUAACGGUAUAUCUGAAUCUUUGAUUACCACUUGAUGAGAACAAGGGUGGCCCGAUCUUCCGAAAGGUUCUGGUAACUCGAUUUGGUGGAAACGAGACACAAACCGAUACGGCUUCCGAACAACACGAGCCGAAACCCUAUAAUUUUUCUUAUUUUUUUAAUAUUUUUCUUUUAGUUAGGAGCACUAAAGAACUAACCAUAGAAAAUUUGAAUUUAAAGAAGUGAAGGCGUGGCCUGCGGAAUUUUCUGAAGAUUGUGAAAAAUGUGAAAAAAACUUCUUGAUGUGAAAACUCAAAAUUCGGAGGCGAAUUUGGAGAUUCUAAAAUUUUCAAACCCACCAAAGGCGUGGAUAUAUAGAUCCAAAAAUUUUUUCUAAUUGAUUUUGAUAUACGGAACAUUGAAACCGGAGUUCGUAUGCGAAAGUUAUGGCUGUUUUACGAACGGACUCCAAAUUAGAGGACAGAACGGUCCGAAAGUGAGAAAAAUUUGCGGCGGUGGCUAGAAAUUGAUGGAAACGGUGGGAAAAAAUACACAAACUGGACUCUAACAGGACCUAACCAGCAACAAGACCUCAGCCAAGUCACAAACUCAAUACUGCGGACUCUGAAACUGAAAUAUGCAAAGGCUAUGGCGCGGAAGGGUUGUAGGACAAGAAAACGAUAUGGCACUGGACUUAUGGGACGAACAUAAGAACACUCGAAACUAAGGGUAGAUGUGAACCUAACGGUAUACCUGAAGUUUUGAUUACCACUUGAUGAGAACAAGGGUGGCCCGAUCUUCCGAAAGGUUCUGGUAACUCUUGAUUUGGUGGAGACGAGACACAAAUCGAUCCGGUUUUCGAACAACACGAUCCGAAUCCCUGUAAUUUUUUUGUUAUUUUUUUGAUAUUUUUCUGUAACUUAGGAGCACUAAAGAAGUAACCACAGAAAAUUUGAGCUUAAACAAGUGAAAGACGUGGCAUGUGGAAUUUUCUGAAGAUUGCG
This 15773-nucleotide long non-coding RNA is filed under the name Sorghum bicolor (sorghum). RNAcentral's name for it is "long non-coding RNA (SBIC_LNC004794)". The record is from RNAcentral. Lineage: Eukaryota; Viridiplantae; Streptophyta; Magnoliopsida; Poales; Poaceae.